RNAcentral lists this long non-coding RNA (1124 nucleotides) under Nicotiana tabacum (common tobacco). Its description in RNAcentral is "long non-coding RNA (NTAB_LNC015382)". Lineage: Eukaryota; Viridiplantae; Streptophyta; Magnoliopsida; Solanales; Solanaceae. The record is from RNAcentral.
GCAACCAUCUUUUGCUGGUGGCGCUGGAAUGUACACUCAUCCAGGCAAUAGUGUUGGGUAUGAAAUGGAAGAGUUAAUCACCAAAGAGUUGGUUGAAGCCACUCAAGUUGGUCCAAUCGUUAACACUGCAAGAUUGCCAUUAUCAAUUGCCGAUCAUAUUGGAGUCCAUGGUUGUACAACUUCUAGCAGUGGUGCUAAGAACGGUUUUGAGAGCGCUGUGGGAGCUCGUGAGGCAGGUUUUUCUGUUGAUUCUAACCCAUUAAUGCCAAUUCCUGACACUAGUGUUAGUGGAGUAUAUCCAAGUUUUAAUGCUAGCAUAAAGGACGACAACAUUUUGAUUUGGAAGACCGAUUCCUAGAUCAGAUGAUUGGAUUUUAUGAAAAGGAUGGUAAAUCUUACUCUAUCACUGGUUUCACUAGAAUUACCGUGCAACACAGGCCUAUUAUUUCACAAACUCCGAUGUCAUUACGUGUUCCUCGCCCAGCUGGUACAGUUGGAUUUUGCACUGCAACAUCUUCUAGUAGAUUGUUCUAUCAUGGCAUCCUUCUAGAUAUGGCUCCAGUUGUAUAUCUAGUGUCUCAUUCUUUCUUGCAGCAGAACCAAUAGUUUCUGUUGUAUAUGGUGUAUGUAUUAGCAAAAUUUUUAGAUGCAUAGAACUAUUUAGAACAGUUACCUUCCCCCAACCCCCAUGGCCCCUUUCACUUCCUUCUUUGGUGUACAAGCAUGUUCUUGAACUCCAUGUUCAUUAAAAAAAAGCAUGCAUAUAGUUGAAUCUUAUUUUCUGCUUACUUUGAAAAUUUUCUUAGUUUGUGCAGUCUCCGUUCCCUAUUUUGUUUCUUGUUCAAGUUAAUUUUUAGUGAAAUUCAUUGAAAAGAUAAUGACCCCAAAUUCUAGUUAGACAAAAAUUCUCAAACCACAUAGAGAUCAAAUCAAAAUGCCAAAGGUUCAGAGUACAAAUAAAGCAGAGUAAAGUAACCUUCAUAGCAACACAGAAUAGAAGGCCUUUUGUUGAUAUUUUUUGUAGAACUGAGUAGUGGGAAAAGGCAAUUUCAUCUUCCAUUUAGGUUUCUCAAGCUGUGAACAGAGGAUGCAGCUCAAUUGGGUUUGGAGCGACGCUUUUCGAC